AACGUAGGAGGCGAGCGUUAUCCGGAUUUACUGGGUGUAAAGCGCGUGCAGGCGGUGGGAUAAGUUGGGUGUGAAAGCUCCUGGCUCAACUGGGAGAGGUCGCUCAAGACUGUCGCACUGGAGCGUGGUAGGGGAAGGCGGAAUUCCAGGUGUAGUGGUGAAAUGCGUAGAUAUCUGGAGGAACACCAGUGGCGAAAGCGGCCUUCUGGACCACGACUGACGCUCAGACGCGAAAGCUAGGGGAGCAAACGGG
RNAcentral lists this ribosomal RNA (253 nucleotides) under uncultured Longilinea sp. RNAcentral's name for it is "partial 16S ribosomal RNA". It matches the Rfam family "Bacterial small subunit ribosomal RNA", at positions 524 to 776 of the family's 1533-position model. The record is from RNAcentral. Lineage: Bacteria; Bacillati; Chloroflexota; Anaerolineae; Anaerolineales; Anaerolineaceae.